Molecule: RNase P RNA, 357 nt
Filed under: Candidatus Anoxymicrobium japonicum
Lineage: Bacteria; Bacillati; Actinomycetota; Candidatus Geothermincolia; Candidatus Geothermincolales; Candidatus Anoxymicrobiaceae
Description: Actinobacteria bacterium HGW-Actinobacteria-3 RNase P RNA component class A
Rfam family: Bacterial RNase P class A
About the family: Ribonuclease P (RNase P) is a ubiquitous endoribonuclease, found in archaea, bacteria and eukarya as well as chloroplasts and mitochondria. Its best characterised activity is the generation of mature 5'-ends of tRNAs by cleaving the 5'-leader elements of precursor-tRNAs.
Source: RNAcentral
AUAGUCAUCCGGGUGGCCGCGGGGCGACAGCCUCGAGGAAAGUCCGGACUCCACAGGGCAGGGUGCUGGAUAACGUCCAGGCGAGGCGACCCGACGGAAAGCGCCACAGAAAAGAAAAGACCCGCCGCGCAAGCGGAAGGUUAAGCUGAAACGGUGGUGUAAGAGACCACCAGCGGCCAGGUGACUGGCCGGCUUGGCAAGCCCCACCCGGAGCGAUGCCGAAUAGGGGAGGAGCGGUGGCCCGCCGCGUUUCGACUCCCGGGUUGGCAGCACGAGGCCCGUGGCAACGCGGGUCCCAGAUAGAUGGCCACCACCGCGCUCGCGGUACAGAAUCCGGCUUACACGGUGGCUAUCCCC